Molecule: ribosomal RNA, 1450 nt
Filed under: Salmonella enterica subsp. enterica serovar Typhimurium
Lineage: Bacteria; Pseudomonadati; Pseudomonadota; Gammaproteobacteria; Enterobacterales; Enterobacteriaceae
Description: bacterial LSU rRNA
Rfam family: Bacterial large subunit ribosomal RNA
Source: RNAcentral
GGGUUGUGAGGUUAAGCGACUAAGCGUACACGGUGGAUGCCCUGGCAGUCAGAGGCGAUGAAGGACGUGCUAAUCUGCGAUAAGCGCCGGUAAGGUGAUAUGAACCGUUAUAACCGGCGAUUUCCGAAUGGGGAAACCCAGUGUGAUUCGUCACACUAUCAUUAACUGAAUCCAUAGGUUAAUGAGGCGAACCGGGGGAACUGAAACAUCUAAGUACCCCGAGGAAAAGAAAUCAACCGAGAUUCCCCCAGUAGCGGCGAGCGAACGGGGAGGAGCCCAGAGCCUGAAUCAGCAUGUGUGUUAGUGGAAGCGUCUGGAAAGGCGCGCGAUACAGGGUGACAGCCCCGUACACAAAAGCGCAUGUGCUGUGAGCUCGAUGAGUAGGGCGGGACACGUGGUAUCCUGUCUGAAUAUGGGGGGACCAUCCUCCAAGGCUAAAUACUCCUGACUGACCGAUAGUGAACCAGUACCGUGAGGGAAAGGCGAAAAGAACCCCGGCGAGGGGAGUGAAAAAGAACCUGAAACCGUGUACGUACAAGCAGUGGGAGCACCCUUCGGGGUGUGACUGCGUACCUUUUGUAUAAUGGGUCAGCGACUUAUAUUCUGUAGCAAGGUUAACCGUAUAGGGGAGCCGGAGGGAAACCGAGUCUUAACCGGGCGUUAAGUUGCAGGGUAUAGACCCGAAACCCGGUGAUCUAGCCAUGGGCAGGUUGAAGGUUGGGUAACACUAACUGGAGGACCGAACCGACUAAUGUUGAAAAAUUAGCGGAUGACCUGUGGCUGGGGGUGAAAGGCCAAUCAAACCGGGAGAUAGCUGGUUCUCCCCGAAAGCUAUUUAGGUAGCGCCUCGUGAAUUCAUCUCCGGGGGUAGAGCACUGUUUCGGCUAGGGGGCCAUCCCGGCUUACCAACCCGAUGCAAACUGCGAAUACCGGAGAAUGUUAUCACGGGAGACACACGGCGGGUGCUAACGUCCGUCGUGAAGAGGGAAACAACCCAGACCGCCAGCUAAGGUCCCAAAGUCAUGGUUAAGUGGGAAACGAUGUGGGAAGGCCCAGACAGCCAGGAUGUUGGCUUAGAAGCAGCCAUCAUUUAAAGAAAGCGUAAUAGCUCACUGGUCGAGUCGGCCUGCGCGGAAGAUGUAACGGGGCUAAACCAUGCACCGAAGCUGCGGCAGCGAACGUAUCACCCAAGACAACUUUACGGAGUUGACGAUUGACGGAGCGAAGCGACGUCAAAGCGUUCAUUAAAGUCGAGUUGGCUUAGGGAUACGUUCGUUGGGUAGGGGAGCGUUCUGUAAGCCUGUGAAGGUGUGUCGUGAGGCAUGCUGGAGGUAUCAGAAGUGCGAAUGCUGACAUAAGUAACGAUAAAGCGGGUGAAAAGCCCGCUCGCCGGAAGACCAAGGGUUCCUGUCCAACGUUAAUCGGGGCAGGGUGAGUCGACCCCUAAGGC